AUGGUGGGCACUCUAAGGAGACUGCCGGUGACAAACCGGAGGAAGGUGGGGAUGACGUCAAGUCAUCAUGGCCCUUACGGCCUGGGCUACACACGUGCUACAAUGGUCGGUACAGAGGGUUGCCAAGCCGCGAGGUGGAGCUAAUCCCAUAAAACCGAUCGUAGUCCGGAUCGCAGUCUGCAACUCGACUGCGUGAAGUCGGAAUCGCUAGUAAUCGCGAAUCAGAAUGUCGCGGUGAAUACGUUCCCGGGCCUUGUACACACCGCCCGUCACACCAUGGGAGUGGGUUGCACCAGAAGUAGCUAGUCUAACCUUCGGGAGGACGGUUACCACGGUGUGAUUCAUGACUGGGGUGAAGUCGUAACAAGGUAGCCGUAGGGGAACCUGCGGCUGGAUCACCUCCUUA
RNAcentral lists this ribosomal RNA (406 nucleotides) under Pseudomonas lactis. RNAcentral's name for it is "partial 16S ribosomal RNA". It matches the Rfam family "Bacterial small subunit ribosomal RNA", at positions 1128 to 1533 of the family's 1533-position model. Lineage: Bacteria; Pseudomonadati; Pseudomonadota; Gammaproteobacteria; Pseudomonadales; Pseudomonadaceae. RNAcentral also lists the same sequence under 3 other names. The record is from RNAcentral.